RNAcentral lists this ribosomal RNA (579 nucleotides) under uncultured bacterium. RNAcentral describes it as "bacterial SSU rRNA". It matches the Rfam family "Bacterial small subunit ribosomal RNA", at positions 338 to 916 of the family's 1533-position model. The record is from RNAcentral.
CCUACGGGAGGCAGCAGUAAGGAAUAUUGGUCAAUGGAGGCAACUCUGAACCAGCCAUGCCGCGUGCAGGAUGACGGCCCUAUGGGUUGUAAACUGCUUUUAUACAAGAGAAAACCCUGGUACGUGUACCGGGUUGAUAGUAUUGUAAGAAUAAGCAUCGGCUAACUUCGUGCCAGCAGCCGCGGUAAGACGAAGGAUGCAAGCGUUAUCCGGAUUCAUUGGGUUUAAAGGGUGCGUAGGCGGACUGAUAAGUCAGUGGUGAAAUCUCUUUGCUUAACAAAGAAACUGCCAUUGAUACUGUCGGUCUAGAGUAUAGAUGACGUUGGCGGAAUAUGACAUGUAGUGGUGAAAUACUUAGAUAUGUCAUAGAACACCGAUUGCGAAGGCAGCUAACGAAACUAUAACUGACGCUGAGGCACGAAAGUGCGGGGAUCAAACAGGAUUAGAUACCCUGGUAGUCCGCACCGUAAACGAUGAUUACUCGUUGUUGGCGAUAUGACAGUCAGCGACCAAGCGAAAGCGAUAAGUAAUCCACCUGGGGAGUACGCCGGCAACGGUGAAACUCAAAGGAAUUGACGG